GUUUCUUCAGCGUGCUCAGUCGGCCCAGGCCCUCCGCCACAGCCCGUAGUCGGUUGUGGCUGAGGUCCAACUCCACCAGCUGCCUCAACUCGAAUACGGCGCACGGCACGGUGGAGAAGUGAUUCCUGCGCAGCACUAGCACACGCAGGUUGUUGAGACUGGAUGCCAGGCCUUCGGGUAGCUCUUGCAGGAGGUUGUUGCCCAGGUUCAGGGCCUCCACGUGGGACAGGUCCGCAUCUUUGGGAUAGGGGGGCAGCUGGCGCAGGUCGCUGCGCAGCUUCCUGGAGCGGAGGGCGGCGUCCCGCCACAGCUGGGCCGCCUUAACAUUGUUCUCCAGGGGGGGCGGCCCGUCUCCUCGCCUUUGCUCACCCUCCCCCUCCGCCCAGUCCUUGUUUUUUUCAUUCAGAGUCCUCAUGGGUUG
Molecule: long non-coding RNA, 421 nt
Organism: Hippocampus comes (tiger tail seahorse)
Lineage: Eukaryota; Metazoa; Chordata; Actinopteri; Syngnathiformes; Syngnathidae
Exons: 3
Source: RefSeq, a predicted model, not a curated record